RNAcentral lists this ribosomal RNA (882 nucleotides) under uncultured bacterium. RNAcentral's name for it is "bacterial SSU rRNA". It matches the Rfam family "Bacterial small subunit ribosomal RNA", at positions 23 to 898 of the family's 1533-position model. The record is from RNAcentral.
CUCAGAACGAACGCUGGCGGCGCGUCUUAAGCAUGCAAGUCGAGCGGUAAGCUGUAGCAAUACAGCCUAGAGCGGCGGACUGGUGAGUAACACGUGGGUGACCUACCCUUAGGAUGGGGAUAGCCACUAGAAAUAGUGGGUAAUACCGAAUGUGGUUACCGGGCUGUGGCCUGGUAAAGAAAGGAGCUUUGGCUCCGCCUGAGGAUGGGCCCGCGUCCCAUUAGCUCGUUGGUGAGGUAACGGCCCACCAAGGCGAUGAUGGGUAGCCGGCCUGAGAGGGUGAACGGCCACACUGGGACUGAGAUACGGCCCAGACUCCUACGGGAGGCAGCAGCUAAGAAUAUUCCGCAAUGGACGAAAGUCUGACGGAGCGACGCCGCGUGGAUGAUGAAGGCCGAAAGGUUGUAAAAUCCUUUUGUCGAUGAAGAAUAAGCAUGGGAGGGAAUGCCCGUGUGAUGACGUUAGUCGGCGAAUAAGCCCCGGCUAAUUACGUGCCAGCAGCCGCGGUAACACGUAAGGGGCGAGCGUUGUUCGGAAUUAUUGGGCGUAAAGGGCGCGUAGGCGGUCCUGUAAGCCCGGCGUGAAAACCUGGAGCUCAACUCCGGGCCUGCGCUGGGAACUGCGGGACUAGAGUCAUGGAAGGGAAGUUGGAAUUCCAGGUGUAGGGGUGAAAUCUGUAGAUAUCUGGAAGAACACCGGUGGCGAAGGCGAACUUCUGGCCAAUGACUGACGCUGAGGCGCGAAAGUGCGGGGAGCAAACAGGAUUAGAUACCCUGGUAGUCCGCACCAUAAACGAUGUACACUAGGCGUUGGGUCGAGUGACUCAGUGCCGAAGCUAACGUGAUAAGUGUACCGCCUGGGGAGUAUGCCCGCAAGGGUGAA